Molecule: ribosomal RNA, 503 nt
Filed under: uncultured bacterium
Lineage: Bacteria
Description: partial 16S ribosomal RNA
Rfam family: Bacterial small subunit ribosomal RNA
Source: RNAcentral
AUUGAACGCUGGCGGCAGGCUUAACACAUGCAAGUCGAGCGGGGUGAUGGUGCUUGCACUAUCACUUAGCGGCGGACGGGCGAGUAAUGCUUAGGAAUCUGCCUAUUAGGGGGGGACAACAUCUCGAAAGGGAUGCUAAUACCGCAUACGUCCUACGGGAGAAAGCAGGGGAUCACUUGUGACCUUGCGCUAAUAGAUGAGCCUAAGUCGGAUUAGCUAGUUGGUGGGGUAAAGGCCUACCAAGGCGACGAUCUGUAGCGGGUCUGAGAGGAUGAUCCGCCACACUGAGACUGAGACACGGCCCAGACUCCUACGGGAGGCAGCAGUGGGGAAUAUUGGACAAUGGGGGGAACCCUGAUCCAGCCAUGCCGCGUGUGUGAAGAAGGCCUUAUGGUUGUAAAGCACUUUAAGCGAGGAGGAGGCUCUUUUGGUUAAUACCCAAGAUGAGUGGACGUUACUCGCAGAAUAAGCACCGGCUAACUCUGUGCCAGCCGCCGCAGUAA